Molecule: non-coding RNA, 2118 nt
Organism: Aegilops tauschii subsp. strangulata
Lineage: Eukaryota; Viridiplantae; Streptophyta; Magnoliopsida; Poales; Poaceae
Source: RefSeq, a predicted model, not a curated record
UGGGUAAAUUUGCUGGAUCCGCGAAAGGAUUUGAUCGAGUCUAGAUCGUUUACUGGCGUUGAUUGCCACCCUACUUCCUGCCGCGCCUUUGAUCCAGUUCCAAGAACCAUUAAGGUAUAGACAGAGGGUUUGGGCCCCAGAUCUCUAUCUUUUGCAGCAAUAGUGAAGCGAGGUCUGAAGAUGUCGGACCGGCGAACUGGUGGAACCAGCUCUGGCACGGCUGGCCCCUCAAAAACAGCCGUGCAGAAGUCCAGUUCCUAUGGGGGCGUAAGCAGCCAUCUGCCCCCGCCCUCCAAAGAUCCUGCUCCUGCCCCGAAACCUACCAAGUCCACAGCAUCUACGACUGCUUCCUCUCAGGUACAAUCCUCUCAACCUGUGAAGGGAGAAAUCAAGCAGGUGCUAGAUCCGAGGUAUAAGGAUAUGAUCUGCUUUAAUUGUGGAGGCCCAGGUCACUAUGUAGGUAACUGUGCCAAGCCAAAAACUUGUUUCGUCUGCCAACAGAAUCACAAUGUUAACAACUGUGCUGCAUGGUCUAAGGUUCACCCACUGCUGCUUUCUUUGGCAGUGGGCCAAGGGGGCUUGGUUUCUACCAUGUUGAUGUGCAUGUAGCUAAUGAGUCCAACUGGUUGAGCUUUCAAAACUGUGCUGUGGUGAACAUUCUUAAAGGUGAAGUGGACAAAUAUAGGUUGUGAGUUCUUCUGGUUAACUUUCAUUGAAGUGGACAAAAAUAGGUUGUAUAAAAAAUUUAAUACGCAAAGGAACCUUGAUCUUCCAAAUGUGCAAUGACCUUGAGAGCGGGCCAGAAUUAAUCAAAUCCGUAUAGAAAGAUUUCACCGUAAAAAUCCCAUUCUUAGUUAACUUCCAUUGUGACGCAUCCGGUUGAUCGGAGAGUUGAACGUCUAUCAGUCUCCGAACCAAAUGCAUCCAGGCGGUCCAUCUCUCACCAACUAACACCCGUCUGAACUGGAUGUAUCGAGGAUCUUUUGCCUCUCGACUGUAACUCUAUCAAUAUGGAAUAAAACUCCUUUUUCAUCGCAAAAAAAAGAUUAAUCCUUUCUCUACUUCCCACACCACACACGGGCAGGGCUGCUAGCAUGGAGAUUGACGUUACGCCUACGCCACUAGUAUAAAAACCCCAGCUCCCCCCUUGGGGGCGAGGCAGAGCAGAGCAGAGCAGGACCUAGACUAGAGAGAAGAUCUUUAGUGCUCUAGUACUUUUUGAGGAGGAGAGAGAAUGAUGGAGGUGGCGGUGGAGAGCCCGCAGCCGGCGGCUUGGGACCAGUUCAAGGAGAAGGUGGAGAUCAUGGAGGAGGAGAAUGGUGGUGCUUCCGCAGCCGCAGCCGCCGCCACUGCUGCUGCAGGGGAGCUGCUGACCAGGGAGAUCAAGAAGAGGUUGCUGAACCACGCCCAUGAGAAUGGGAAUGGCCAUGGCCAUGUCAGUGGAGGAGGACCAGAGGAGCUCAAGGUUGUUCCCGAGGAGGAGGACAAGGUGGAGGAGGCUCCUGAAGAGCCCAAGGUUGCUGAAGAGGAGCAGAAGUCGCACCUGCAGCAGACUAUCUUCUUCGAUGCAGCCAAAGGGUUAUGGAAGUGCUGGCACUGCGAUUGGACGUACCGCCUGACUAGUCCAUGCGAAAAUGGUACCGUAGAUCAUCGAGGCUAUCGCCACCAAAUCGAGCAGAAUCUCGAAUCGUUGGUUGAGAAAAAGGAUCGUAAAACGGUUCACCGAACAAAGCCUCCUCAAGCAGAGGAGGAGAAGGAGGAGGAGGAGGCUCCUGAAGAACCCAAGGUUGCGAAAGAGGAGCAGCUGCGGCACAAGAGUAUCUUCUUCGAUGCAGCCAAAGGACUAUGGAAGUGCCGGCACUGCGAUUGGACGUACCGCUUGGCUAGUCCGUGUGGGGAAAUCGUACCGUAGAUCAUCGAGGCUUAUUAAAACCAGAGCAUUUGGCAGUUGAAUCAUAUUCGGAGAACCAAGCUGCUGCAGAUCAAGUGCAGUCCGAGAUGCAGAACUCCAACGAUACAACCACUAAAAUUGAAUCUCGCACAUAUGCUCAUCAUAGUCAUGGCACAGUUGUAAAACCAGAGCACUCGAUAACCGAAUCAUCGCCGGCAGAUCAGAAC